RNAcentral lists this ribosomal RNA (720 nucleotides) under Streptomyces albogriseolus. RNAcentral's name for it is "bacterial SSU rRNA". It matches the Rfam family "Bacterial small subunit ribosomal RNA", at positions 119 to 850 of the family's 1533-position model. The record is from RNAcentral. Lineage: Bacteria; Bacillati; Actinomycetota; Actinomycetes; Kitasatosporales; Streptomycetaceae.
GGGCAAUCUGCCCUGCACUCUGGGACAAGCCCUGGAAACUGGGUCUAAUACCGGAUACUGACCCGCUUGGGCAUCCAAGCGGUUCGAAAGCUCCGGUGGUGCAGGAUGAGCCCGCGGCCUAUCAGCUUGUUGGUGAGGUAAUGGCUCACCAAGGCGACGACGGGUAGCCGGCCUGAGAGGGCGACCGGCCACACAGGGACUGAGACACGGCCCAGACUCCUACGGGAGGCAGCAGUGGGGAAUAUUGCACAAUGGGCGAAAGCCUGAUGCAGCGACGCCGCGUGAGGGAUGACGGCCUUCGGGUUGUAAACCUCUUUCAGCAGGGAAGAAGCGAAAGUGACGGUACCUGCAGAAGAAGCGCCGGCUAACUACGUGCCAGCAGCCGCGGUAAUACGUAGGGCGCGAGCGUUGUCCGGAAUUAUUGGGCGUAAAGAGCUCGUAGGCGGCUUGUCACGUCGGUUGUGAAAGCCCGGGGCUUAACCCCGGGUCUGCAGUCGAUACGGGCAGGCUAGAGUUCGGUAGGGGAGAUCGGAAUUCCUGGUGUAGCGGUGAAAUGCGCAGAUAUCAGGAGGAACACCGGUGGCGAAGGCGGAUCUCUGGGCCGAUACUGACGCUGAGGAGCGAAAGCGUGGGGAGCGAACAGGAUUAGAUACCCUGGUAGUCCACGCCGUAAACGGUGGGCACUAGGUGUGGGCGACAUUCCACGUCGUCCGUGCCGCA